This 796-nucleotide ribosomal RNA is filed under the name uncultured delta proteobacterium. RNAcentral describes it as "bacterial SSU rRNA". It matches the Rfam family "Bacterial small subunit ribosomal RNA", at positions 57 to 829 of the family's 1533-position model. Lineage: Bacteria; Deltaproteobacteria. The record is from RNAcentral.
GCAGUCGAACGAGAAAGUGGUCUUCGGACCGCAAGUAGAGUGGCGCACGGGUGAGUAACGCGUAGGUAAUCUACCCUUAUACCUGGGAUAACAUUGGGAAACUGGUGCUAAUACCGGAUACACUUUACUGCUGCGGGGCAGUAGAGGAAAGGUGGCCUCUUGGUCAAAGCUACCGUAUAGGGAUGAGCCUGCGUACCAUUAGCUAGUAGGUGGGGUAACGGCCCACCUAGGCGACGAUGGUUAGCGGGUCUGAGAGGAUGAUCCGCCACACUGGAACUGGAACACGGACCAGACUCCUACGGGAGGCAGCAGUGAGGAAUAUUGCGCAAUGGGGGAAACCCUGACGCAGCGACGCCGCGUGAGUGAGGAAGGCCUUCGGGUCGUAAAGCUCUGUCAGAAGGGAAGAAGUGUUAGAUGGUUAAUACCCAUGUAAUUUGACGGUACCUUCAGAGGAAGCACCGGCUAACUCCGUGCCAGCAGCCGCGGUAAUACGGAGGGUGCGAGCGUUGUUCGGAAUUACUGGGCGUAAAGGGCGCGUAGGCGGCUGGAUAAGUCAGAUGUGAAAUCCCACGGCUUAACUGUGGAAGUGCAUUUGAAACUGUCCGGCUUGAGUAUCGGAGGGGAGUGUGGAAUUCCCGGUGUAGAGGUGAAAUUCGUAGAGAUCGGGAGGAACACCGGUGGCGAAGGCGACACUCUGGACGAAUACUGACGCUGAGGCGCGAAAGCGUGGGGAGCAAACAGGAUUAGAUACCCUGGUAGUCCACGCCGUAAACGAAUGUGAACUAGAGGUAGGUGG